RNAcentral lists this transfer RNA (71 nucleotides) under Marmota monax (woodchuck). Its description in RNAcentral is "tRNA.Ala". The record is from RNAcentral. Lineage: Eukaryota; Metazoa; Chordata; Mammalia; Rodentia; Sciuridae.
GAGGUUGUAGCUCAGUGGUUGAGCGCUUGCCUGGCAUGUGUGAGGCACUGGGUUCCAUCCUCAGCACCACA